UGAGCGAUAGAAGGGUAGCGAUUGCCAAGC
Molecule: non-coding RNA, 30 nt
Filed under: Mus musculus (house mouse)
Lineage: Eukaryota; Metazoa; Chordata; Mammalia; Rodentia; Muridae
Source: RNAcentral